CGUGACUGGAGUGUUUAGUGCUGUCAUCACUGCUCUUGAUUGUUUGACCCUGGGAGAAAGUUCUGCCACAGGGGGAAAUAUGUGGCAGAAACAGAGGGGCUGGAACAGAGAGAAUAGGCGAGGGAUACCUUGAGCGUGAGAGCCGCAGCUCAGGCUUUGACUAUUCAGCUACCAGACGACAUUGUGGCUGAGAGACUGGAGGCUCAGUAGGCCAGAGGAAGAUGCUGACCCCAUGGGGGCUGUUCCUCUGCCAGCUGGCAAUAAACAUGUCCUACCAUGUCAUAAAAGCCAGCCUCUGCCUGGGUGGGUCGGACAUCUUUGCGAAGGUGAGUGAGAACAGCCCCGUAGGAGAGUUCAUUGCGAACCUCAGCAUCGUCG
Molecule: long non-coding RNA, 378 nt
Organism: Coregonus clupeaformis (lake whitefish)
Lineage: Eukaryota; Metazoa; Chordata; Actinopteri; Salmoniformes; Salmonidae
Exons: 3
Source: RefSeq, a predicted model, not a curated record